Molecule: ribosomal RNA, 1034 nt
Filed under: Bacillus sp. M060106-8
Lineage: Bacteria; Bacillati; Bacillota; Bacilli; Caryophanales; Bacillaceae
Description: bacterial SSU rRNA
Rfam family: Bacterial small subunit ribosomal RNA
Source: RNAcentral
UAAUACAUGCAAGUCGAGCGGAAAUUUUAUUGGUGCUUGCACCUUUAAAAUUUUAGCGGCGGACGGGUGAGUAACACGUGGGUAACCUACCUUAUAGAUUGGGAUAACUCCGGGAAACCGGGGCUAAUACCGAAUAAUACUUUUUAACACAUGUUUGAAAGUUGAAAGACGGUUUUGCUGGCCCUUUUAAAUGGACCCCCGGCGCAUUAACUAAUUGGGGAGGGAACCGCUCACCCAGGGAACCAUGCGUAACCCAACUGAAAGGGUGAUCGGGCACCCUGGGACUGAAACACCGGCCAAAAUCCUACCGGAGGGAACAGUAAGGAAUCUUCCACAAUGGACCAAAGUCUGAAGGAACAACCCCCCCUGGGUGAAGAAAGAUUUCCGUUCCUAAAACUCUUGUGCAAGGGAAGAACAAGUAGCGGAAUAACUGGCGCUUCCUUGACGGGACCUUGGUAGAAAGCCACCGCUAACUACCUGGCAGCAGCCGCGGUAAUACCUAAGUGGCAAGCGUUGUCCGGAAUUAUUGGGCGUAAAGCGCGCGCAAGUGGUUCCUUAAGUCUGAUGUGAAAGCCCCCCGCUCCACCCGGGGAGGGUCAAUGGAAACUGGGGGACCUUGAGUGCAGAAGAAGAUAAUGGAAUUCCCAGUGUAGCCGUGAAAUGCCUAGAGAUUUGGAGGAACCACCGUGGCGGAGGCAACUGGCCGGGCUGGUACUGACCCUGAAGCGCGAAAGCCUGGGGAGGCAACCGGGAUAGAAACCUGGUAGGCCCCCCCGUAACGAAGAAUGCUAAUGGUGGGGGGUUCCCGCCCUUCGUGGCUGCGCUUACGCAUUAAGACCUCCCCUGGGGAGUCCGUCGCCAAGAUUAAACUUCAAGGGAAUGACGGGGGCCCCUACAAACGGUGGAGCAUGGGUUUAAUUUCUAAUCACCCAAAAAACCCUCCCAGGUCUUGGAUCCCGGUGAACACUUUGGGAACAUGUUUCCCUUUCCGGGGCAAAGGGAAAAGGGGGGUCUGGUUGCCUCCAGCUCCGUCC